This 165-nucleotide ribosomal RNA is filed under the name Torulaspora sp. RNAcentral's name for it is "partial large subunit ribosomal RNA". It matches the Rfam family "Eukaryotic large subunit ribosomal RNA", at positions 99 to 261 of the family's 3401-position model. Lineage: Eukaryota; Fungi; Ascomycota; Saccharomycetes; Saccharomycetales; Saccharomycetaceae. The record is from RNAcentral.
CGGCAAAAGCUCAAAUUUGAAAUCUGGUACCUUCGGUGCCCGAGUUGUAAUUUGUAGAAGGUAACUUUGGGGCUGGUCCUUGUCUAUGUUCCUUGGAACAGGACGUCAUAGAGGGUGAGAAUCCCGUGUGGCGAGGAUCCCAGUUCUAUGUAAAGUGCUUUCGAA